GUAUUAUGUUGGUGCAAAAGUAAUUGCAGUUUUUGCUAUUACCUUUAGUGGCAGAAACCUCAAUUACUUUUGCACCAACCUAAUA
RNAcentral lists this microRNA precursor (85 nucleotides) under Cebus imitator (Panamanian white-faced capuchin). Its description in RNAcentral is "miRNA (ENSCCAG00000011334.1)". The record is from RNAcentral. Lineage: Eukaryota; Metazoa; Chordata; Mammalia; Primates; Cebidae.